Molecule: ribosomal RNA, 468 nt
Filed under: uncultured bacterium
Lineage: Bacteria
Description: bacterial SSU rRNA
Rfam family: Bacterial small subunit ribosomal RNA
Source: RNAcentral
UCCAGACUCCUACGGGAGGCAGCAGUGAGGAAUAUUGGUCAAUGGUCGGGAGACUGAACCAGCCAAGCCGCGUGAGGGAUGAAGGUACAGAGUAUCGUAAACCUCUUUUGUCAGGGAACAAAGGCGGGGACGCGUCCCCGGAUGAGUGUACCUGAAGAAAAAGCAUCGGCUAACUCCGUGCCAGCAGCCGCGGUAAUACGGAGGAUGCGAGCGUUAUCCGGAUUUAUUGGGUGUAAAGGGUGCGUAGACGGGAAAUUAAGUUAGUUGUGAAAUCCCUCGGCUCAACUGAGGAACUGCAACUAAAACUGAUUUUCUUGAGUGCAGGAGAGGUAAGUGGAAUUCCUAGUGUAGCGGUGAAAUGCGUAGAUAUUAGGAGGAACACCAGUGGCGAAGGCGACUUACUGGACUGUAACUGACGUUGAGGCACGAAAGUGUGGGGAGCAAACAGGAUUAGAUACCCCCGUAGAG